UUAAUUCUACGGGGCCAAACUUGGGACAGU
Molecule: non-coding RNA, 30 nt
Filed under: Mus musculus (house mouse)
Lineage: Eukaryota; Metazoa; Chordata; Mammalia; Rodentia; Muridae
Source: RNAcentral